GACGAAGGGGGCUAGCGUUGUUCGGAAUUACUGGGCGUAAAGCGCGUGUAGGCUGCUCUGCAAGUCGGAUGUGAAAGCCCUGGGCUCAACCUAGGAAGUGCAUUCGAAACUGCAAAGCUGGAGUCCUGGAGAGGAAGGCGGAAUUCUCGGUGUAGAGGUGAAAUUCGUAGAUAUCGAGAGGAACACCGGUGGCGAAGGCGGCCUUCUGGACAGUGACUGACGCUGAGACGCGAAAGCGUGGGGAGCAAACAGG
RNAcentral lists this ribosomal RNA (253 nucleotides) under uncultured bacterium. RNAcentral's name for it is "partial 16S ribosomal RNA". It matches the Rfam family "Bacterial small subunit ribosomal RNA", at positions 524 to 776 of the family's 1533-position model. The record is from RNAcentral.